UUAAAAGGCUGCAGUAAUUUGACUGUACAAAGGUAGCAUAAUCAUUAGUUUUUUAAUUAAAAGCUUGUAUGAAAGGUUGGACGAGGUAGAAUCUGUCUCUUUUUAAUAUAAUUAAAAUUUAAUUUUUAAGUUAAAAAGCUUAAAUUUUUAUAAAAGACGAGAAGACCCUAUAGAGUUUUAUAAUUUUUUAAAAGUAUUUAAUUAAGAUUUUUUUAUUUUAUUUUUAAAUAAUUAUUUUAUUGGGGUAAUAGAAAGAUUAAAUUAAUUCUUUUUUUAAAAAAAAUACAUUAAUUUAUGAUAAUAUGAUCCAUUAGUUAUGAUUUAAAG
This 327-nucleotide ribosomal RNA is filed under the name Aepopsis robinii. Its description in RNAcentral is "partial 16S ribosomal RNA". Lineage: Eukaryota; Metazoa; Arthropoda; Insecta; Coleoptera; Carabidae. The record is from RNAcentral.